Hibiscus syriacus is the source of this 89-nucleotide long non-coding RNA. RefSeq lists it as uncharacterized. NCBI's taxonomy places the organism in Eukaryota, Viridiplantae, Streptophyta, Magnoliopsida, Malvales, Malvaceae. The record is from RefSeq and is a predicted model, not a curated record. The transcript is spliced from 3 exons.
GUUAUAUUUUCUCUGAAUGUGACUAAAAAAAUCAGCAGAAGCUAAAAUUCACUCAUCUGAGUAUAUCCCUAUUCCAUGCACAUUUGAGA